AAUGAACGCUGGCGGCAUGCCUUACACAUGCAAGUCGAACGGCAGCAUGACCUAGCUUGCUAGGUUGAUGGCGAGUGGCGAACGGGUGAGUAAUGCAUCGGAACGUGCCUUUUAGUGGGGGAUAACGUAGCGAAAGUUACGCUAAUACCGCAUAUUCUCUGAGGAGGAAAGCAGGGGACCUUCGGGCCUUGCGCUAGAAGAGCGGCCGAUGUCGGAUUAGCUAGUUGGUGAGGUAAAGGCUCACCAAGGCAACGAUCCGUAGCGGGUCUGAGAGGAUGAUCCGCCACACUGGGACUGAGACACGGCCCAGACUCCUACGGGAGGCAGCAGUGGGGAAUUUUGGACAAUGGGCGCAAGCCUGAUCCAGCCAUGCCGCCUGAGUGAAGAAGGCCUUCGGGUUGUAAAGCUCUUUCGGCUGGGAAGAAAUCGCACCCUCUAGUACAGGGUGUGGAUGACGGUACCAGCAUAAGAAGCACCGGCUAACUACGUG
This 490-nucleotide ribosomal RNA is filed under the name uncultured bacterium. RNAcentral describes it as "partial 16S ribosomal RNA". It matches the Rfam family "Bacterial small subunit ribosomal RNA", at positions 29 to 507 of the family's 1533-position model. The record is from RNAcentral.